AACCCUACAUGCAUUGAAGCAACUGCCAUGUGAUUGGUUGACUAGAUAAUCGCAUUAAUGAGAAAUAGAACAGGUGUUCCUAAUAAUUCUUUAGGUGAGUGUAUUCUGCAACACGGAUCGUUACCUUCCUUGCAGUGCAGAUUACAAACCUUAUAUCAUUUCAUAUUUCCAAAUGGCAAUUUAUGCAGAAUCAUCUCUAACUAGCAUUGAAUAACCUAAUGUCAUUCUUUCUACAAGAGAAGAAAGCUUGUUCCAAUAUAUAGAUCUGCUGAUAGCUACUCUCUCUAAAGUGUUCAAGGUGCCCAGCUGCUCCCUUACUCUCUCCGCAGCCAUCUUGUGCUGUCAGGUGAUCAGUUCUCCAAUCAAAAUCCUCUUCAGCACCUCAAGGAUUUCAGACUGCUCCAACUGCAUCUGUAACUUAGGACGACUGUUCAACUUUACUUGUUCAUUUUGCCUGUUUUUGUUGACUGUUUUGGAGUUAUCAAAGUUUGAUAGAUCAUGGCAACAACACUGUUCACCUCGUUCAAGUUACCAGUUAAUUUAGUUUCCAGUUAAUGGCUGCUUUGAGAAGAUUAAGAAUGUAGAAGAUCACAGACUGCUGUCUAUUGAAUUUACAGAUUUCUUGACGGUACGUUUUUGUUUUGCUGUUUACAUUAGUACUUU
Bufo gargarizans (Asiatic toad) is the source of this 663-nucleotide long non-coding RNA. RefSeq lists it as uncharacterized. Lineage: Eukaryota; Metazoa; Chordata; Amphibia; Anura; Bufonidae. The record is from RefSeq and is a predicted model, not a curated record. The transcript is spliced from 4 exons.